Molecule: ribosomal RNA, 253 nt
Filed under: uncultured bacterium
Lineage: Bacteria
Description: partial 16S ribosomal RNA
Rfam family: Bacterial small subunit ribosomal RNA
Source: RNAcentral
UACGUAGGGAGCAAGCGUUGUUCGGAUUUAUUGGGCGUAAAGAGCGUGUAGGCGGCCAUACAGGUCAGCUGUGAAAACUCGAGGCUCAACCUCGAGACGUCGGUUGAAACCGUAUGGCUAGAGUCCGGAAGAGGAGAGUGGAAUUCCCGGUGUAGCGGUGAAAUGCGCAGAUAUCGGGAAGAACACCCGUGGCGAAGGCGGCUCUCUGGGACGGUACUGACGCUGAGACGCGAAGGCGUGGGGAGCGAACAGG